UAUGUUGCCCAGGCUGGUCUCACACUCCUGGGCUCAAGAGGUCCUCCUGCCUCAGCCUUCCAAAGUGCUAGGAUUACAGGCAUGAGCCACCACACCCAGCCCAAUACUACUGAUUUUUAACUGGUACUCUUUUGUACGCACUAUUAGCCAGGCACGGUGGCUUAUGCCUAUAAUCCUAACACUUUGUGAAGCUAAGGCAGAUGGAUCACUUUAGCUCAGGAGUUCCAGCCUGGGUAAAAUAGUGAGACCCCAUCUC
Molecule: long non-coding RNA, 256 nt
Filed under: Pan troglodytes (chimpanzee)
Lineage: Eukaryota; Metazoa; Chordata; Mammalia; Primates; Hominidae
Description: long non-coding RNA NONPTRT016770
Source: RNAcentral